RNAcentral lists this non-coding RNA (46 nucleotides) under Schistosoma mattheei. Lineage: Eukaryota; Metazoa; Platyhelminthes; Trematoda; Strigeidida; Schistosomatidae. The record is from RNAcentral.
GCACUGUCGAGGAGUCCGACAAUAGGACGAAAUGGCCGUCCAGUGC